This 281-nucleotide ribosomal RNA is filed under the name Thyrinula eucalyptina. Its description in RNAcentral is "partial 18S ribosomal RNA". The record is from RNAcentral. Lineage: Eukaryota; Fungi; Ascomycota; Dothideomycetes; Asterinales; Asterinaceae.
GACCCGGGCAACAUCGUCAAACUGCGGGAAAGCCCUGCCACGACUCUCGGGACCUCACCGCCCCAGCAAUGGAAGCGGGUGCCUACGGCCAGCGGCCGCGGGUACGGUAAAGCACCGAAGUCUAGGGGCGAUCCGCCGCCAAACCCUCCCCGCACCGGGAGGGCCCAGCUCACAGGCCAGACGGCGAUGGGCGCUCUCGCGCUUAAGAUAUGGUCGAGUGACUCGCCGAGAGGCGGGUGCAACUCAGGAACGUCCGUAGGUGAACCUGCGGAAGGAUCAUU